Eupeodes corollae is the source of this 405-nucleotide long non-coding RNA. RefSeq lists it as uncharacterized. The transcript is spliced from 2 exons. The record is from RefSeq and is a predicted model, not a curated record. NCBI's taxonomy places the organism in Eukaryota, Metazoa, Arthropoda, Insecta, Diptera, Syrphidae.
GAGUCGAAUCCUCAGACCGUGUCUCUUGUACAAUUUGUUGUGUACUCCAACUGUCAGUUCGGCCGUGAACUGCGUGAGGAAUCGAUGCAAAGAAAAUACCGUUGCUUCGCGAGUGUAUAAACCCCAUAGUAUUACAAAAUUCAUACAGAAUUCCACUUUGCCUGUCUUGCCUAUAGUAAAUUUGUGUUUUUGAUUUGAUUUUAAGUCCCGUUUCAUUCUGUGAAUGUCCUUUUUGGAAAAUAAAAUUCAGAAAAAUUUUUUCAGUUAUCUUGUUUUUUCCUUCCUAAUCCUGGGUGCGGUGUGUUAGUGGAAAAAAAAUAAAAAAGAGGAAUACAAAAUAUUGGGGAAAAAUACACCCAGUUCCAUAUAAAAAGAAAAAAUAAGAAAUCAAAAUAAAAAUAAAAA